AUGGAUAAAGAAUUUUUAAAAUUUUUAGUUAAAGAUGGCAUUUCUACAAAUAUUGGUCCCAAUACAAAAGAAAUUCUAUUGCAACAGGCGGAAAGUGAAUAUUGUAAUGGUAAUAUGAUUGCCUCAAUAUUUUAUCAAACUUAUUCCUUAUAUCAGUCCUCGCAAGAACGUUACAAUCAAAGUUCUGGAAAGUGUAAUGAAAAUAAAUCUGAAAGAGCUAACAAGGCCGAAGUGGAAACUUUAAUGGCUGAAAUGAAUGCCAAAGAAAUUUCCGAGUUUAGCAGCAAUUCUCUUAUGCAAUAUGUUAGUAAAUCACUUACAAAAAUGUCGCAAAAAUCUAAAAUAAAGCAGGCAUCUUUGCAAUCAUCUAAUAGUGUGGAAAGUUGCAAUUUUCUUAAAGAUAUUACAAGUCCUGCCGAGGGCAUAACAAAGUUAAUAGAAAUAUGUCAGAAAUUGCCGGAGGAAUGGACUAUUAUACAAUUAUGUAAAGGUCCCCGUGCAGAAACCACUUACUCCAUUUUCCCCAAAAUUCAUGAAAGUGAUGCCGCCAUAUAUAUGACCUUAAUAAAACAUGGCCGCAGUUCAGAAUAUAGUACGCCAAUAUGUUUACGUUUCUCUAGUGCCGAACAAAAGAAACUUUAUGAAAGUUUCGGCGGUAUAGUCAGUCGUUUUCAGCAAUGUGUUAAAAUUGAUCCCAAAGAAGUAAAUACCACCGAAGCUAAACGUUUUUAUUGGUCACUUUUAGAUGAACUUAAUCAAUUUAUAGCAACUACCUGUACGGAUUUGUGCAAUUUUUUCUAUCCCUGGAAUUUUUUAUUUACUGGUAUAGCAUAUUCUAAGCCUCAACAAAUCCUAGUACGUCAACGUUGGUCAAAGGUUGACGAAUUUUGUGAUAUGUAUGGUUGGGAGAGUGAUGCUAGAGUAUUGCUAUCUUUGGCUGCUUCUAAUGCAGAAUCUUUGGAUUUAGUACAAAUAGAGGAUAUUUGUUCUAUACUUACUACAAAUUCUAAGCAUCAUGCCAUUGCCUGUGAUAUGUUGAAAAAGAUGCAAACGGAAAAUGACAGAGGCAAUGGAAACAAAGUGCAACAUUUUCCUUGUAUUUUAAUUGUUGAUGAGCGCCUCGAUCAUUUCUUUUGGGAAGAAAUCAAUGUACAACAAGAGUUUACUCGAGUUAAUUCCAUACAAUGUCUAUAUCGCUUAUAUAAUUAUUAUAAAUCGGAAAUAAAACACGGUUAUUUAUGUGUCAAUAUAACAGAUGGUGGUUGUCUACUUAAUCCUGAUAAAAAUUUACCCAAAAUGGAGUCACGUAUGGUUAGUUUUUUUGAAUAUUGGACACCGCAUUGGACAAUGUUAGUGGGACAACGACCGACCCAAGAUGAACUCUUCAAUAAGUAUUUAAGUCGCAGUUGUUAUGUCUAUGCUGGUCAUGGUUCUGGUUUACAAUAUAUAAAUGGUCGCAAAAUUACCAAACAUCAAAUGCAUUGUGUGGUUUUUUUAUUUGGUUGUGAUUCCUCACGUCUACAUUCAAGUGGCCUGUAUAGUGAAUUAGUAGGACCUCAUUUGUACUAUCAGGCAGCAAUGUGUCCUGCGUUAGUUGGCACUUUGAUGCCUGGCCUAGAUUGUAAUAUGGAUAGGAUAGCCACGGAAAUACUUAGUCGUUGGAUUGUACCCAAAUCUACAAAUGUUUUGCCCUGGAAUGAAAUUGAUGAAAGAGCCUGGAUAAAAGAAUUUAUCAUUAAACCCAAAACUUGCAUGACUACGACAAAGUCUACUACUACAAUACCACCAUCUGUGGCCACCACACCCAAUUAUAAUGUGGGUAGUUUGUGUACCAUAUUAGCUAGAGUUCAUCAGCGUGUAUGUGAACCAAAACUCUAUAAUACUGUACCCUAUGUUUGUCGUGGUCUACCAGUCUGGAAUUGUAAUGUAGAACCACUAAAUACCUCGACAACUUGAAUUUAAAAUAAACAAAUUUCAGCCAAAAAAAAAAGAAGCUGUUAUAAAUGCUACAUAUUGCUGUUCAAACAUCAACAACAAUGUACGACAACAUAUUAUCAUACGUAUUAUUCGUAUUAUAUAUUCAUAUUCCUGUACAUACAACAAAUGCAGAUGAUGAUGAUGAUGAAACUACUUGAGAUGUGUAACCAUUUACACUAACACACUUAAAACUGUGAAUGGAUACAACAAUGACUACAACGACCAACAAACAUGAACCGGAGAUAACCUGAAACCCAAAAAAGGAAGACACAAGAAUCGAUACUUGCUUGUCAUCCAUCUAGGAACAAAAAAUAUUUUUUAUAUAAAAAAUAUAUAUAUAAUCAUAAAAAAACUGAAUAAAAUAAUAUAAAAUUGUACCCAAGGCGAAUAAAAAAAAGAAAAAUGAAAUGCAACAAAAAAGUCGUAGCAUGUGUAUUGAAAGCACAUUAUGUUAGUAAGGAUGUGCUACUAUGUUCUCUCUCUACAUACACACGCUCCCUUGUAUUUAUAUUGAAAAGGAAAUAAUAUAUAAAUGUUAUAAUAUACGAGAUGUUUACAAGCCUCACAUCAAAAACAAAAUAAUUUUUUUAUAUUAUUAUAAAGAGAAGGACCUUAUACUAAAUUUUGUGAAAUAUUCUAUAUUAUGUACUUAUACUUUUGUGCCACAAACACUACAAACCAUCUUAAAAAAGAAUUAAAUCUUUAGGAAAUAAUAAAAGAGAAUAAUUACAAAAUUAUCCCUAUUUGUUUAUGAUAUUUGUAAUUAG
Molecule: unclassified non-coding RNA, 2744 nt
Filed under: Lucilia cuprina (Australian sheep blowfly)
Lineage: Eukaryota; Metazoa; Arthropoda; Insecta; Diptera; Calliphoridae
Description: separin, transcript variant X5
Source: RNAcentral